Molecule: unclassified non-coding RNA, 246 nt
Filed under: uncultured Clavulinaceae
Lineage: Eukaryota; Fungi; Basidiomycota; Agaricomycetes; Cantharellales; Hydnaceae
Description: sequence contains ITS2
Source: RNAcentral
ACAUUCUCAAGCUGGAUGCUUUUUUCCUUUAAAAAGUUCUUAGCUUGGUUUUGGGCUUUGCAGUGCCCCCUUCAUCGGGGAACUGCUGGCCUUAAAAGUAUUAGCUGGCCCUCAUGUGGGAUUGGUUCUACUCAGCGUGAUAAUAGUGACUGCUGAGGACAUCUUUCGGGAUGGCCAAGUUCUAUUUAGGGGUUGCUUCUAAUCCGUGGCCUGCAGGUUCUUUGAAUCUGUUCCACACAAUCACAA